RNAcentral lists this ribosomal RNA (602 nucleotides) under Globigerinoides ruber albus. RNAcentral's name for it is "partial small subunit ribosomal RNA". The stretch from base 1 to 540 matches the Rfam family "Eukaryotic small subunit ribosomal RNA", at positions 1294 to 1605 of the family's 1831-position model. Lineage: Eukaryota; Foraminifera; Rotaliida; Globigerinidae. The record is from RNAcentral.
UUAGUUCGUGGAGUGAUCUGUCUGCUUAAUUGCGUUUCAAAUUUUUAACCGAGGACCGGGUUUUGGUUUGGCUAGUGGUCCUACGAUGACUGUGAACUGUCAUGUCUUCGGAUGUACGACUAUCGGUCUAGGAUCACAUGACUUGCCCCUGGGACUCUUUUGAACGCAACGGACGUGAUUGCAACCCCUUGUUGAGAUUAGAGAUAGUCUCGAUAUUCACUGGCCAAACUGGCUGCUUUAUGCAGUCUUGUUGAAUGGUGGAUAAACUCGGGGGACUGCUGACUAUAACCAUUUCUCAAAACAGAGGAAGGUUGCGGCAAUAACAGGUCUGUGAUGCCCUCAGAUGUCCCGGGCUGCACACGUGCUACAAUGAGUGGCGCAAUGUGCUAAUGUUUUAAGGGAUAAGCGUGCGGCCAGUAGAACGUCGGCAAUUGCCCUGGCGUCUUCUACCGCACGAUUAUCAGCCUUCCCUUAACAGGGCGGGCAACCUUUUCAAAAUACCGGUUUGAUGUUAAAGUAUAGAGUCGUUUUUUUUGGAUGGUGGUUUACGAACCAAUACCAUCCGCAACUGCUCGCGAGUUUGUGGUUCUGGUGACUCAUGG